Oncorhynchus tshawytscha (Chinook salmon) is the source of this 1122-nucleotide long non-coding RNA. NCBI's taxonomy places the organism in Eukaryota, Metazoa, Chordata, Actinopteri, Salmoniformes, Salmonidae. The record is from Ensembl.
UUGAAUGGGUAAAUUAAUCCAAUUCUAAUAUGGGUUUGUUUUAUUUCUCUACAUGCAAUGAAGGAUGUCACAUCUUUGAACUUGCUAUGUUAUUUAGACAUCGGUUGGUAUCUACUAUAGUACGUAUGCUUACGCAAAUGUAUUUGUUCAAAAAAAAGCUGUAAUUUGGUAAUAGUCUUUUUUUAACAUCCAGGUUCAUCCUCUGGACGAAGGAGGUUGUCACCCACAGAUUAAGGUCCAUGCAUAACUUGUCCUCUGGAGGAAGGAGGUUGUCACCCACAGAUUAAGGUCCAUGCAUAACUUGUCCUCUGGACGAAGGAGGUUGUCAACCACAGAUUAAGGUCCAUGCAUAACUUGUCCUCUGGACGAAGGAGGUUGUCACCCACAGAUUAAGGUCCAUGCAUAACUUGUCCUCUGGACGAAGGAGUUUGUCAACCACAGAUUAAGGUCCAUGCUUAACUUGUCCUCUGGACGAAGGAGGUUGUCAACCACAGAUUAAGGUCCAUGCAUAAAUUGUCCUCUGGACUAAGGAGGUUUUCAACCACAGAUUAAAGGCAGAAGUCAUUCUGUGGACUAAGGAGGUUUUCCACCACAGAUUAAAGGCAGAAGUCAUUCUGUGGAUGAAGGAGAUUGUCAACCACAGAUUAAAGGCAGAAGUCAUUCUGUGGACUAAAUGAGGUUUUCAACCACAGAUUAAAGGCAGAAGUCAUUCUGUGGACUAAGGAGGUUUUCAACCACAGAUUAAAGGCAGAAGUCAUUCUGUGGACUAAGGAGGUUUUCAACCACAGAUUAAAGGCAGAAGUCAUUCUGUGGACUAAGGAGGUUUUCAACCACAGAUUAAAGGCAGAAGUCAUUCUGUGGAUGAAGGAGGUUGUCAACCACUUGUGGUGGUGCUGUACGAGGAGUUUAUUUAUUUAUUAUCAGUCAUAUUUAUCUUGUCUUAUUUAUUACUCUUGUAUUAUGCUUAGCUGUGAGCUAGCACUCAUCCCUGAGUUGCUGAAAUACUUUCUGCAAUAGGCAAAGUGGGGAAUGCAUGCAUUGCGAUUGUAUGUGUCAGGACCUGUGGAGGGGUGUUACUCACCAUGUGGGGAAUGAACACACAUGGACAACUGGGACAUUGUG